Molecule: ribosomal RNA, 253 nt
Filed under: uncultured bacterium
Lineage: Bacteria
Description: partial 16S ribosomal RNA
Rfam family: Bacterial small subunit ribosomal RNA
Source: RNAcentral
UACGGAGGAUGCAAGCGUUAUCCGGAAUGAUUGGGCGUAAAGCGUCCGCAGGUGGCUGUGUAAGUCUGCUGUUAAAGAGUCUAGCUCAACUAGAUAAAAGCAGUGGAAACUACACGGCUAGAGUACGUUCGGGGCAGAGGGAAUUCCUGGUGUAGCGGUGAAAUGCGUAGAGAUCAGGAAGAACACCAGUGGCGAAGGCGCUCUGCUAGGCCGUAACUGACACUGAGGGACGAAAGCAUGGGGAGCGAACAGG